UACGUAGGCAGCAAACGUUGUUCGGAAUUACUGGGCGUAAAGAGUGUGUAGGCGGUUUCGUAAGUUUGGGGUGAAAUCUCCCGGCUUAACUGGGAGGGUGCGCCGAAAACUGCGAGGCUUGAGUACUGGAGAGGAGAGCGGAAUUCCUGGUGUAGCGGUGAAAUGCGUAGAUAUUAGGAGGAACACCGGUGGCGAAGGCGGCUACCUGGACCGAUAUUGACGCUGAGACGCGAAAGCGUGGGGAGCAAACAGG
This 253-nucleotide ribosomal RNA is filed under the name uncultured bacterium. RNAcentral's name for it is "partial 16S ribosomal RNA". It matches the Rfam family "Bacterial small subunit ribosomal RNA", at positions 524 to 776 of the family's 1533-position model. The record is from RNAcentral.